Molecule: ribosomal RNA, 425 nt
Filed under: uncultured bacterium
Lineage: Bacteria
Description: partial 16S ribosomal RNA
Rfam family: Bacterial small subunit ribosomal RNA
Source: RNAcentral
GUGGGGAAUCUUAGACAAUGGGCGCAAGCCUGAUCUAGCCAUGCCGCGUGAGCGAUGAAGGCCUUAGGGUUGUAAAGCUCUUUCAGCUGGGAAGAUAAUGACGGUACCAGCAGAAGAAGCCCCGGCUAACUCCGUGCCAGCAGCCGCGGUAAUACGGAGGGGGCUAGCGUUGUUCGGAAUUACUGGGCGUAAAGCGCACGUAGGCGGAUCAGAAAGUCAGAGGUGAAAUCCCAGGGCUCAACCUUGGAACUGCCUUUGAAACUCCUAAACGUGAGGUCGAGAGAGGUGAGUGGAAUUCCGAGUGUAGAGGUGAAAAUCGUAGAUAUUCGGAGGAACACCAGUGGCGAAGGCGGCUAACUGGCUCGAUACUGACGCUGAGGUGCGAAAGCGUGGGGAGCAAACAGGAUUAGAAACCCCGGUAGUCC